Molecule: ribosomal RNA, 438 nt
Filed under: uncultured bacterium
Lineage: Bacteria
Description: partial 16S ribosomal RNA
Rfam family: Bacterial small subunit ribosomal RNA
Source: RNAcentral
CUACGGGCUGCUCCAGUGGGGAAUAUUGGACAAUGGGGGCAACCCUGAUCCAGCCAUGCCGCGUGAGUGAAGAAGGCCUUAGGGUUGUAAAGCUCUUUCAGAUGUGACGAUGAUGACGGUAACAUCAGAAGAAGCCCCGGCUAACUUCGUGCCAGCAGCCGCGGUAAUACGAAGGGGGCUAGCGUUGUUCGGAAUUACUGGGCGUAAAGCGCGCGUAGGCGGCUUGAUCAGUCAGAGGUGAAAUCCCGGGGCUCAACCCCGGAACUGCCUUUGAUACUGUCAAGCUAGAGCUCGGAAGAGGGUGGCGGAAUACCCAGUGUAGAGGUGAAAUUCGUAGAUAUUGGGUAGAACACCAGUGGCGAAGGCGGCCACCUGGUCCGUAGCUGACGCUGAGGUGCGAAAGCGUGGGAGCAAACAGGAUUAGAUACCCCCGUAGUC